Molecule: non-coding RNA, 48 nt
Filed under: Trypanosoma brucei brucei
Lineage: Eukaryota; Euglenozoa; Kinetoplastea; Trypanosomatida; Trypanosomatidae
Source: RNAcentral
CAACAUCCAAAUAGAAUUGUAUAAGUGAGAUAUGAUGUAUACUAUAUU